Gorilla gorilla gorilla (western lowland gorilla) is the source of this 513-nucleotide long non-coding RNA. RefSeq lists it as uncharacterized. The record is from RefSeq and is a predicted model, not a curated record. The transcript has 4 exons. Lineage: Eukaryota; Metazoa; Chordata; Mammalia; Primates; Hominidae.
CUCUGUGAGGCUUGAUGACCACAGACUUUAAACCAAAGACUGAUCCAUGGUGCUCUUCUUUUCACAGCCAGAAUACAGAGGUCUGGCAACCAAACGGUGAAGUCGAAAUGGCUCUUCUCACUUUUACUUCUAGCUUAUCUGGUUUUUGCCUCUUGCAUUGCUUUGUCACAUGCCUUCUCAAGACUUGUUACUCAAGGGUUACCAGACAAAUCCAUUUCGUAGCUUCAAUUACUAAGAGGAGCUUGAACUGGCAGUGACUCCAUUGUGCAAUUUGGAACACAAGAGAAAGCACGGAUUUUGAAGUUAGACAAAUCUGUAUAUAGAUAAUUCCAGCGGCAAAUGGGCAAGUCACAGGAUUUUAGCUCCACAGAAAAGAAGUCUGAAUAAUGAGAGCUGCACCCAAAUGGAGCUGGACCCCCACAACAUGCUGGGCCCACCAUACAGCAAGGGUUCAAGUACAGGUUGGAUGAACCACUCUUCUCACAUUGUGGGGGGAUAAUUACAGUUCAUUGC